UCCGUAAAUCCGUAAUAGUAUGUGGAGCGAUAUGUUUGUUGUUGGUUACAAACAAAAACAAAUUAAUAAUAGUGUGGUAACGGGAUUACUGUGUUCAGUCAUGCACGAUUUGAAUUCAAAAAACGUUACCGAAGAUCUGCAGUUUUUGUACAUUUUAAUACAUGGGUGUAAGUGGUUGUACAUCACUAGUGUACCACUUUUGCUGUUAAUCAAAGCCUGUGAACAAAUAGUACAGUAACUUGAAGAAUGAGCAUGUAAUGCGAUGCAGAUUCAUGUUACACUCCAGGACUGCCAUGUGAGAGAGUCUGCUCUGUCUGUUGUUCGUGCUGGCUGUGCGCGGGAUUUCCGAGGUGGGCCAAAAGUGCAGGCUGCUCCUGUGGGUAUCUGUAACGGAUCGGGCCUGCCGACCUAAAGCCAUUUGGUUCCCACUGAGGUGCAGGCCCUGCCUGUCGGAUCUAGUCUCACCGACCUGCCCGCAGGCUGGGUCUGUUUGUGUGUGACGUAAUGCAGCAGAUUUUCACGGUUUAUCCGUGGGCCCAGGACUGUGGUGUUCCCCGGCAGGCCAGAGGCCGUGGGCGAUGGACUUCAGGAAUUACAACUGUCUCGUCAUAAAUACCUGGCCAAUGAGAUGAAGUUGUACCACUUCCAUCAGUCCAGACAUUUGUCAAAGAAGUGCAGUUUAUGAAUGACCAAGUGGAUGAAGCGGCCACACUCUCACCGGUCCAGAUAUUCCUCAAAGAAGAAGAAGGUGCAUAUUGUAAGGCAGAAGAGCCUGUGCUGGUCUCACUUGUCCCAGUGCUUCUCAAAGAAGAACAUGUGCUUGAUGAAUCGCCGGAGGACUUUGAAGUUGGCAGUCACCCAUUGCUAAUAAAUCCGAGCCAAAUAUGGAAGUUACUGUGAAGUGCCUGCAGGAUGACUGCAAUUUUUUUCAACGUCUUGGCAAAUUUGAGAACACUGCUGCAAAAGCACAUGCUUGCAGAGGAGAAAGGAAAGUUUAUAUUCCAGACAAUGGAUGGUAAGUAACUUUGUAUAAUAAUUUUAUGAUGUGCAAGAAAAGUAAAGUGUCUGGUAAAUCUACAGAAUUUCCUUCUUUGUGGCUAUAGUAUUCUGAUGCACUGUGUUACCCUGUAAAGUUUCUUUCAGUACAACUAUGAGGAUUAUUUGUGGUAACAGCAUAUUAUCAUAAGAAAUGGCU
Long non-coding RNA from Schistocerca piceifrons (Central American locust), 1195 nucleotides. RefSeq lists it as uncharacterized. NCBI's taxonomy places the organism in Eukaryota, Metazoa, Arthropoda, Insecta, Orthoptera, Acrididae. The record is from RefSeq and is a predicted model, not a curated record. The transcript is spliced from 8 exons.